ACAUGGAACACUCUGCCUGGUUAUAUCAUUCAAGAAAAUAGCAAAAAUCUAUUUAAAAUAUUAUUGAAAAAACAUCUCCUAGCUGAACAACUCUCUGUGUCACUGAUAUUUAGCUAACAUCAAAUCAUAAAAGGUUUAAUGUUGGAUAAAUACAGUCCCGUCCAACCUAGCUGUUGGAUAAAUACAAAGUCCCGUUAAUAAUAAUGGUAAAAUAAAUUGUUGCUUGUUCUGUUUUUGUAUGUUUUUGUAUUUUGAAAUAAUAUGCUAUGGUCCAACCACCAAUGAAUCAUAUUUACCUCUAUCAAAUUUAUGUCUUGAAUAUUGUUGUGUUUUGUUGCAGUCGCUUUUGAUGUUGUGGUCGUUGUUGGUAAAGAUUGUAAUGUGAUUGUGUACUGAAAUGUGUAGCCUAACAUUUCAAAGUGAUUUAAG
This is a long non-coding RNA of Sebastes umbrosus (honeycomb rockfish), 429 nucleotides long. RefSeq lists it as uncharacterized. The record is from RefSeq and is a predicted model, not a curated record. The transcript has 3 exons. NCBI's taxonomy places the organism in Eukaryota, Metazoa, Chordata, Actinopteri, Perciformes, Sebastidae.